CCUGAGAGGGUGACCGGCCACANUGGGACUGAGANACGGCCCAGACUCCUACGGGAGGCAGCAGUGGGGAAUAUUGCNCAAUGGGCGAAANNCUGANGCAGCGACGCCGCGUGAGGGAUGANGGCCUUCGGGUUGUAAACCUCUUUCAGCAGGGANGAAGCGNAAGUGACGGUACCUGCAGAAGAAGCACCGGCUAACUANGUGCCAGCAGCCGCGGUAAUACNUAGGGUGCAAGCGUUGUCCGGAAUUANUGGGCGUAAAGAGNUCGUAGGCGGUUUGUCNCGUCG
This 287-nucleotide ribosomal RNA is filed under the name uncultured bacterium. Its description in RNAcentral is "partial 16S ribosomal RNA". It matches the Rfam family "Bacterial small subunit ribosomal RNA", at positions 291 to 590 of the family's 1533-position model. The record is from RNAcentral.